AAACAUGACGACUGUAAGUCGCUUUGGAUAAAAGCGUCUGAUAAAUGGCAUAUA
This is a non-coding RNA of Salmo salar (Atlantic salmon), 54 nucleotides long. Lineage: Eukaryota; Metazoa; Chordata; Actinopteri; Salmoniformes; Salmonidae. The record is from Rfam.